GAUGAACGCUAGCGAUAGGCUUAACACAUGCAAGUCGAGGGGCAGCAUUAUUUUAGCUUGCUAAGAUAGAUGGCGACCGGCGCACGGGUGCGUAACGCGUAUGCAACCUGCCUGUAAUUAGGGAAUAACCCGGUGAAAGUCGGACUAAUACCCUAUAUUCUUCUUUCUCCGCAUGGGGAAGGACGGAAAGAUUUAUUGAUUACAGAUGGGCAUGCGUCCCAUUAGCUUGUUGGUAAGGUAACGGCUUACCAAGGCAACGAUGGGUAGGGGGACUGAGAGGUUGACCCCCCACACUGGUACUGAGACACGGACCAGACUCCUACGGGAGGCAGCAGUGAGGAAUAUUGGUCAAUGGGCGAGAGCCUGAACCAGCCAAGUCGCGUGAAGGACGACGGUUCUAUGGAUUGUAAACUUUCUUUUGUAGAGGAAUAAAUGGCAAGCUAACGUGUAGGUGAAGAAGCAAU
RNAcentral lists this ribosomal RNA (464 nucleotides) under Porphyromonas endodontalis. RNAcentral describes it as "bacterial SSU rRNA". It matches the Rfam family "Bacterial small subunit ribosomal RNA", at positions 28 to 478 of the family's 1533-position model. The record is from RNAcentral. Lineage: Bacteria; Pseudomonadati; Bacteroidota; Bacteroidia; Bacteroidales; Porphyromonadaceae.